GGGACGUUAAACCAACAACCCAAGGGUGUCUCGGAAUGCUGGUGCGCGAUGGGGGCGGAUCUCACCGCUCAAUGGGGCUUCCGCCCCGUCCCGUCGCGGCGGACGCGGUUGGUGCGCGAUGGGGGCGGAUCUCACCGCUCAAUGGGGCCUUCCGCCCCGUCCCGUCGUCAUCGGCCGCGGGGGGUGCACGAUGGGGGCGGAUCUCACCGCUCACUGGGGCUUCCGCCCCGUCCCGUCGUCGCCUCCUUUCCGGGGCGCCCUAUUCCAAUUUUUUCCUCAGUAGAGAAAACUUGGGCCGGGAGUUCCGGCAAAGAGGGCGGGA
RNAcentral lists this unclassified non-coding RNA (322 nucleotides) under Ephedra monosperma. RNAcentral's name for it is "partial ITS1". Lineage: Eukaryota; Viridiplantae; Streptophyta; Gnetopsida; Ephedrales; Ephedraceae. The record is from RNAcentral.